AUUGUGUCAGCCGCCGCGCGGUAAUACGUAGUCCCUAAGUGGUUCCCACUUGUAUUGGGCCUAAAACACCUGUAGCUGGUGUGGUAAGUCCUUGGUGAAAUCAAUCCGCUCAACGGAUUGACUUGCUAAAGAUACUGCCAUGCUUGGGGAAGGAAGACGUGAAGGGAAUUUUUAGGGUAGCGGUGAAAUGCGAUGAUCCUAAAAAGACCUCCAGUAGCGAAGGCGCUUCACGAGAACUAUCCCGACAGUGAGAGAUGAAAGCUGGGGGAGCGACCAGGAUUAGAUACCCUGUUAGUCCCAGCUGUAAACGAUGCAGACUAGGUGUUCCCUGUCCCUCGUGGACUGGGAGUGCCGACGCGAAGGCAAUAAGUCUGCUGCCUGGGGAGUAUGCCCGCAAGGGUGAAACUCAAUGGAAUUGGCGGGGGCUCACACAAGGGGGUGGAUGUUGCGGUUUAAUUGGAUGCAACGCCAGAAAAUCUUACCAGGGAAGACAGCAGAGUGAUUGACAGUCUGAAGGGCUUUCAUGACACGCUGAGAGGUCCUGUAUGGCCACCGCCAGCUCGUACCGUGAGGCUUCCUGUUAACUCAGGCAACGGGCGAGACCAACGCUCCUAGUUGCUACCAUGGGUUUGUCUAUGGGCACUCUAGGGGGACUGCCAGAGUAAUCUGGAGGAAGGGGUUGUCAACGGUAGGUCUGUAUGAGCCGAAUUUCCUGGGCAACACGCGACACACAAUGGAUAAUACAAUUGGAUGCUAACCCGAAAGGGGGCGCUAAUCCCGGAAAAUUAUCCUCAGUUCUCGGAAUGGGGGGCUGGUAACCCCGCCCCCCAUGAAGUUGGGAAUCCCCAGUAAUCCGCGCGUCAUUAACCACGCCGGUGAAUAAAUUCCCUGAGCCCUUGCACACACCGCCCGUCAAAUCGUCGACCUGCAGCAUGCAAGCUUGCACUGGCGUCGUUUACACGUCGUGACUGGAAAACCUGCGUACCACUAUCGCGUAUGCGAAUUUUCUCUACGCACAUUGCGGGAUAUUCAACGCCCAUGUGAACUUCAUUACAAUCUGGCCCUGUCGUGACGCCGUCAUGAUGUAGUACGUAGC
This 1096-nucleotide ribosomal RNA is filed under the name uncultured prokaryote. RNAcentral describes it as "bacterial SSU rRNA". It matches the Rfam family "Archaeal small subunit ribosomal RNA", at positions 452 to 1478 of the family's 1478-position model. The record is from RNAcentral.